Molecule: ribosomal RNA, 707 nt
Filed under: uncultured marine alveolate
Lineage: Eukaryota
Description: SSU rRNA
Rfam family: Eukaryotic small subunit ribosomal RNA
Source: RNAcentral
GUUAAAACGCUCGUAGUUGAAUAUUUGUCGAAGAAUACUGAUCCACCCAAGUGGUGCGUACUCGGUGUACCUUCGUCACCUUUACCGGGGAGAGCAUUUCCACUUCGUUGUGGGUGUGCAAGAUCCGGAACUUUUACUUUGAGGAAAUAAGAGUGUUUCAAGCAGGCAUUGCCAUGAAUACGUUAGCAUGGAAUAAUAGCAUAGGACCCGGUGUCGUAUCUGUUGGUUCACGGCGCUGGGUAAUAACAAGAGGGAUAGUUGGGGGCAUUCGUACUGCAAAGUCAGAGGUGAAAUUCUUGGAUUUUUGCAAGACGGACUAGUGCGAAAGCAUUUGCCAAGGAUGUUUUUAUUAAUCAAGAACGAAAGUUAGGGGAUCGAAGACGAUCAGAUACCGUCGUAGUCUUAACCAUAAACUAUGCCAACUAGGGAUUGGAGGGUGUUAUCAUAUGACUCCUUCAGCAGCUUGAGAGAAAUCAAAGUUUUUGGGUUCCGGGGGGAGUAUGGUCGCAAGGCUGAAACUUAAAGGAAUUGACGGAAGGGCACCACCAGGAGUGGAGCCUGCGGCUUAAUUUGACUCAACACGGGAAAACUUACCAGGUCCAGACAUAGGAAGGAUUGACAGAUUGAUAGCUCUUUCUUGAUUUUAUGGGUGGUGGUGCAUGGCCGUUCUUAGUUGGUGGAGUGAUUUGUCUGGUUAAUUCCGAUAA